Molecule: ribosomal RNA, 429 nt
Filed under: Gemmatimonadota bacterium
Lineage: Bacteria; Pseudomonadati; Gemmatimonadota
Description: Gemmatimonadetes bacterium partial 16S ribosomal RNA
Rfam family: Bacterial small subunit ribosomal RNA
Source: RNAcentral
UAGGGAAUCUUCGGCAAUGGACGAAAGUCUGACCGAGCAACGCCGCGUGAGUGAAGAAGGUUUUCGGAUCGUAAAACUCUGUUGUUAGAGAAGAACAAGGACGUUAGUAACUGAACGUCCCCUGACGGUAUCUAACCAGAAAGCCACGGCUAACUACGUGCCAGCAGCCGCGGUAAUACGUAGGUGGCAAGCGUUGUCCGGAUUUAUUGGGCGUAAAGCGAGCGCAGGCGGUUUCUUAAGUCUGAUGUGAAAGCCCCCGGCUCAACCGGGGAGGGUCAUUGGAAACUGGGAGAGUUGAGGGCAGAAGAGGAGAGUGGAAUUCCAUGUGUAGCGGUGAAAUGCGUAGAUAUAUGGAGGAACACCAGUGGCGAAGGCGGCUAUCUGGUCUGUAACUGAAGCUGAGGCUCGAAAGCGUGGGGAGCAAACAGG